UUGUCGUCCGCCGACCUCGCUGGUGAGCCACGCUCAACCUUGCAGCUCCUUCGCGUCGUCGAUUUCCUUGACCCACAACCUCUCUUCCGACCUCGUCGUGCUCGCGAUGUCAUCGUAAAGCUGCUAGCUGCCUGUCUCGCUGUUCCUGAUACCCAGCAAGCCGUUGUGCUCGGCAUACUUUCUCCAUGUGGUUCUCUCGCUUCGUCGGCUUUCCGCGUGUUAGAGCAGAGUACCCAGAAGAAGUGA
Molecule: unclassified non-coding RNA, 246 nt
Filed under: Zea mays
Lineage: Eukaryota; Viridiplantae; Streptophyta; Magnoliopsida; Poales; Poaceae
Description: misc RNA Zm00001eb220080
Source: RNAcentral